This 497-nucleotide ribosomal RNA is filed under the name uncultured bacterium. RNAcentral describes it as "partial 16S ribosomal RNA". It matches the Rfam family "Bacterial small subunit ribosomal RNA", at positions 28 to 507 of the family's 1533-position model. The record is from RNAcentral.
GAUGAACGCUGGCGGCGUGCCUAAUACAUGCAAGUCGAGCGAACAGACGAGGCGCUUGCUCCUCUGACGUUAGCGGCGGACGGGUGAGUCACACGUGGAUAACCUACCUAUAAGACUGGGAUAACUUCGGGACACCGGAGCUAAUACCGGAUAAUAUAUUGAACCGCAUGGUUCAAUAGUGAAAGACGGUUUUGCUGUCACUUAUAGAUGGUUCCGCGCCGCAUUAGCUAGUUGGUACGGUACCGGCUUACCAAGGCAACGAUGCGUAGCCGACCUGAGAGAGUGAUCGGCCACACUGGAACUGAGACACGGUCCAGACGCCUACGGGAGGCAGCAGUAGGGAAUCUUCCGCAAUGGGCGAAAGCCUGACGGAGCAACGCCGCGUGAGUGAUGAAGGUCUUCGGAUCGUAAAGCUCUGUUAUUAGGGAAGAACAGAUGUGUACGUAACUAUGCACGUCUUGACGGUACCUAAUCAGAAAGCCACGGCUAACUACGUG